GAUGAACGCUAGCGACAGGCUUAACACAUGCAAGUCGAGGGGCAUCACGGGUAGCAAUAUCUGGUGGCGACCGGCGAACGGGUGAGUAACGCGUAUGCAACCUACUUGUAAACGGGAGACAACCUGGAGAAAUUUGGGCUAAACUUCCAUGAGGCAUUAUUACUGCAUGGUAAUGAUGUCAAACGUAAGGUUUACAAAUGGGCAUGCGUAUGAUUAGCUAGUUGGUAGGGUAAUAGCCUACCAAGGCGACGAUCAUUAGGGGUUCUGAGAGGAAGGUCCCCCACAUUGGAACUGAGAUACGGUCCAAACUCCUACGGGAGGCAGCAGUGAGGAAUAUUGGGCAAUGGUCGAAAGACUGACCCAGCCAUGCCGCGUGCAGGAUGAAGGCCCUAUGGGUUGUAAACUGCUUUUAGCCGGGAAUAAACACCCGUUUUAUAACGGGCCCGAAGGUACCGGCUGAAUAAGCAUCGGCUAACUCCGUG
This 482-nucleotide ribosomal RNA is filed under the name uncultured bacterium. RNAcentral's name for it is "bacterial SSU rRNA". It matches the Rfam family "Bacterial small subunit ribosomal RNA", at positions 28 to 507 of the family's 1533-position model. The record is from RNAcentral.